Molecule: ribosomal RNA, 327 nt
Filed under: uncultured eukaryote
Lineage: Eukaryota
Description: partial 18S ribosomal RNA
Rfam family: Eukaryotic small subunit ribosomal RNA
Source: RNAcentral
CCCUUAGAUGUUCUGGGCCGCACGCGCGCUACACUGACGAAUGCAACGAGCUUAUAACCUUGGCCGAAAGGUCUGGGUAAUCUCCAAAUUUCGUCGUGAUGGGGAUAGAUUAUUGCAAUUAUUAAUCUUCAACGAGGAAUGCCUAGUAAGCGCAAGUCAUCAGCUUGCGUUGAUUACGUCCCUGCCCCUUGUACACACCGCCCGUCGCUCCUACCGAUUGAAUGGUCCGGUGAAGCGUUCGGACCGUGGCCUUUGGACGGUUCGCCGUCUGUUGGCUGCGGGAAGUUCGUUAAACCUUAUCAUUUAGAGGAAGGAGAAGUCGUANCA